This 490-nucleotide ribosomal RNA is filed under the name uncultured bacterium. Its description in RNAcentral is "partial 16S ribosomal RNA". It matches the Rfam family "Bacterial small subunit ribosomal RNA", at positions 30 to 507 of the family's 1533-position model. The record is from RNAcentral.
AUUGAACGCUGGCGGCAGGCCUAACACAUGCAAGUCGAACGGUAACAGGAAGAAGCUUGCUUCUUUGCUGACGAGUGGCGGACGGGUGAGUAAUGUCUGGGAAACUGCCUGAUGGAGGGGGAUAACUACUGGAAACGGUAGCUAAUACCGCAUAACUUCUCAAGACCAAAAAGGGGGACCUUCGGGCCUCUUGCCAUCGGAUGUGCCCAGAUGGGAUUAGCUAGUAGGUGGGGUAACGGCUCACCUAGGCGACGAUCCCUAGCUGGUCUGAGAGGAUGACCAGCCACACUGGAACUGAGACAAGGUCCAGACUCCUACGGGAGGCAGCAGUGGGGAAUAUUGCACAAUGGGCGCAAGCCUGAUGCAGCCAUGCCGCGUGUAUGAAGAAGGCCUUCGGGUUGUAAAGUACUUUCAGCGGGGAGGAAGGGAGUAAAGUUAAUACCUUUGCUCAUUGAAGUUACCCGAAGAAGAAGCACCGGCUAACUCCGUG